Molecule: unclassified non-coding RNA, 353 nt
Filed under: fungal sp.
Lineage: Eukaryota; Fungi
Description: partial internal transcribed spacer region
Rfam family: Eukaryotic small subunit ribosomal RNA (bases 1-46)
Source: RNAcentral
AAGUCGUAACAAGGUUUCCGUAGGUGAACCUGCGGAAGGAUCAUUAAACGUUUUCCAACGUACCAACCACGUGAACUCGUUUUCGAGUGUCUGCGGUCGGCUUUGAGGGCGUCAAAGUAUGGUGGGCAUCCGCGGGCCGCAAGGCUCGAGGCUCUGCUGUUUGACGUUCUGCAUCGUCUUCGGACGAGACAAGCCGCGCCUCAGCAACCAUUUACUUUAUAAUUAUUUUUUAAAACGCAUUGUACCACUCGUACUAACACUUUGUGAAGUCGGCAGAGCGCGCUUGCGUGCACUCCGAUGAACUAAAGACAUUAAUUGCUGAACAACUCUUAGCAACGGAUAUCUUGGUUCUC